CGCUACUGUGAAAAGUGUGUUCAAAUCAAACCCGACCGGUGCCAUCAUUGUUCAGUGUGUGGUGAGUGUGUGCUAAAGCUUGACCAUCACUGUCCUUGGGUAAACAACUGUGUAGCCUUUACCAACUACAAAUUUUUCAUCCUAUUCCUUGGUUAUGCCCUACUGUACUGCCUGUUCAUUGCAGCAACAACACUACAAUACUUCAUCAAGUUCUGGAAGAACCAGUUGGAAGUGCCAGCAAAAUUUCACAUACUGUUUGUUUUCUUCGUUUCUAUAAUGUUUGCCAUCAGUCUGGUUUCAUUGUUUGGCUAUCAUAUCUUUUUAGUGGUCAAAAACAGAUCCACUUUAGUUUUCUCCCUGUUUCUGCA
This is a long non-coding RNA of Macrobrachium nipponense, 368 nucleotides long. RefSeq lists it as uncharacterized. The record is from RefSeq and is a predicted model, not a curated record. Lineage: Eukaryota; Metazoa; Arthropoda; Malacostraca; Decapoda; Palaemonidae. The transcript has 3 exons.